UGGGGAAUAUUGGACAAUGGGCGAAAGCCUGAUCCAGCAAUACCGAGUGAGUGAUGAAGGCCCUAGGGUUGUAAAGCUCUUUUAGCAAGGAGGAUAAUGACGUUACUUGCAGAAAAAGCCCCGGCUAACUCCGUG
This 135-nucleotide ribosomal RNA is filed under the name Rickettsia endosymbiont of Macrolophus pygmaeus. RNAcentral's name for it is "partial 16S ribosomal RNA". It matches the Rfam family "Bacterial small subunit ribosomal RNA", at positions 355 to 507 of the family's 1533-position model. Lineage: Bacteria; Pseudomonadati; Pseudomonadota; Alphaproteobacteria; Rickettsiales; Rickettsiaceae. The record is from RNAcentral.